UACGUAGGGUGCAAGCGUUAAUCGGAAUUACUGGGCGUAAAGCGUGCGCAGGCGGUUUUGUAAGCCUGAUGUGAAAUCCCCGGGCUCAACCUGGGAAUUGCAUUGGAGACUGCAAGGCUAGAAUCUGGCAGAGGGGGGUAGAAUUCCACGUGUAGCAGUGAAAUGCGUAGAGAUGUGGAGGAACACCGAUGGCGAAGGCAGCCCCCUGGGUCAAGAUUGACGCUCAUGCACGAAAGCGUGGGGAGCAAACAGG
This 253-nucleotide ribosomal RNA is filed under the name uncultured bacterium. Its description in RNAcentral is "partial 16S ribosomal RNA". It matches the Rfam family "Bacterial small subunit ribosomal RNA", at positions 524 to 776 of the family's 1533-position model. The record is from RNAcentral.